Molecule: long non-coding RNA, 12501 nt
Organism: Alexandromys fortis (reed vole)
Lineage: Eukaryota; Metazoa; Chordata; Mammalia; Rodentia; Cricetidae
Exons: 7
Source: RefSeq, a predicted model, not a curated record
CCACCCUGCCCCUGCACCCGGGCUGGCUGAUUCAACCUUCAUUGCCCCUUCUUCCAUCCUGCUCCCUGAAGCCUUGUGGAGAAGGAUGUGGCCCAGCCGUCCAUUUAUGGUUAUGCACAAAGGGACAAUGUCUUAAGUGUACUCUGUGACACAUUGAAAGGGUCUUGGAUCUCUACGAUCAGAACGGCUGCCGUGGUUUGAAAGGGAACGGCUCCCACGGGCUCAUUGGUUUAAAUGCUUGGUCUCUAGGGAGAGGCGCUGUUUGAAAGGACGUGGAGGUGUGAUCCUGUUGGAGGAAGUGUGUCACUAGGGGAGGGCUUUGAGGUUUCCGAAGCCCAUGCUAAAGCCCAGAGUCUCUCUCGCGGCCAGUGGAUCAGAAUGUAGCUCUCAGCUACUUCUCCGGCACCAUUUCUGCCUGUCUGCCUCCCACCAUGGUAAUGGACUAAGCCUCCGAGACUGUCAGCAAGCCUCAGAUGGCACCCCCACCUACCUGAGUCAGUGACUCAGAAGAGGUCAUAGUGGAAGAGUCUGGUCCGCAGCGUUUCAUUUAAGCUCCGCUUUACCACCCACUCCUCGUCCAUCUUCCUAACGUGCCUAGGAAGAUAAGCCGCUCUGAAACUCCAGGCGGGUGAGACAGGACGCACUGAAAAUCAUUUGCUCUGUGUACCAGAUUUUCCCAUCAUGCUGCCAGCGUGUCUGAGUGGUUGGAGGCUCUCUGAAUAAGAGCACAUGGAUUUAGAAUUGUGAUAUUGUCCAGGUUAGGUGAAGUCCUUAAAGAUGUCGUUAUUUCAUAGCUUCUAGCAAUGUCUGCCUGAGAGUCUGUCUUGUUUGCUGAUGUCUUAGGGACAUCAGCUGUCCUUGGCUGAUAUCAGUGGCCCGAUUCGGGCUUGUAAUUCCCAGUUUGCCAUUCUGGAAACCAAAGUUCCGGAAACAAAAGGUUGCUUUUGUAAUUCUCCUGGCAGCAAACCCUGAUCUGUGUCCACGAGGAACUAUCUGUAAUCGUUCUUUUACUUAGGUUCUUUUCCCAGAAGUACUACUGUGUUUGAGUCCAGAGUGCUAUGGCUAGUCGCAUUCUGGCUGUCACGUGUGUGCUGCGCCAACUUUUAAGUAGGUGAGUCCACCUUAUUCACAUUUGGGACUAGAGUGUGAGCUGAGAGUCGUGGCUCUUUUUGCAUAUACUGUCUGUCUUCUUACGCACGACGUAUGUAUCUUCAGGUUAUACUUCACGGGAUUUGCUCCUUAUGUAAUAUAAUCAACUAUUAUUUAUUCAUGUAUUUUUUUGUUUGUUUUUUGAGGCAGGAUUCUCCUUGCCCAGAUUGACGUCAAACCUUUCUGCCCCAGCCUCCUAGAGUCCUGGAAUUUCAGGUCCUUGCUAACAUAGAGCGUGCUUUGAAGACCAGGCUGGACUUAAGUUCCGUUUCCAAACAGCUAGAAGUUAUAGAGAAAUUGGGAUUGUUUUCUGCGUGCCAGACCAUGCCACCAGUGAAAAGAUAGAGUUUUGCUUCUUCCCAGUGUGAAUGACUUUUCUUGCAAUGAUUUUCCCUCGAGUGGAUGUGGUGAGAACAGACAUCUGACCCCUUCCUAUCCGAGGAGAGAGCGCUCAGUAUUCCUCAUUAGGUGGGAUGUUAGCAGUGUGGUUUUUAUCCGGUUAAGGCUUAUUUUCAUUCUCUGUGGAGGAUUUUUCUAUUAUGAAAUCAUUUUACAUUUGUUUGGCCUUAUACCUUCUGUGCAUCUGUCUUGUGGGGUGUGCAUUUGAUCUAUUGAUGUACUAACUGGUUACUAAAUGUUAAACCUACUUUGCAUUUUUGAGGAAAAUUCCAAAUGAUUGCUGUGUUAGUUAGUGCUCUUGCUGCAGAGACAAAACCUGUGACAGAGGUAACUUAAGGGUGUGCAGACAGAACAGCCCACCUCCAUGGCAGCAGGCAAGGCAUAGCUGGACCCCUCCCCUCCUUAGUUCCCACUUCCUCCUGCAAGGCUCCACCUCCUGAGGAUACCACAGCCUCCCCCAGAGAGUGCCACCACUUGGAACUCAAGUGUUUAGAUACAGGAUCCUUUGGAGAUGUUGACCAUGCAAACCCCAAAGACACUGUAUUUCUUACUUCUUUUCAUAUUUCUGGUUUGUACUUACUUGUACUUUAUUGAGGAUUUUUGUACCCAUGUUUAUGACAUGUCCUUUAGCCUUUUGUCUUGUUUUACCCCUUGUGUUAUGAUUGUUUGAUAUUAUGAUGGCAUUAGGUUGAUAUUGAACUCAGAAUGAACCAUUUUUUAAUCAAUAUUUCCAACAUUGGAGACAUCUGGGCUUGAAAUGUAUAGAUUUAAAACACAAAUUCAGAGUUUACUUGUUUGUAACAUAUCUAUUCAAAUUGCCUAUUUCUUUGUAAGUCAGAUUUGGCCGUUUGUGACCUAGGAAUCUAUUCAUUUCAUUUAAGUUGCAUGAUUUCCCACACAUUACCAUAUUUAUUCUACAAGUCUUUCAUUGCUAUGAAUGUGGCAGCUACUCUCUUUUUCACUUAUAAUUCUAUUAAUUUAACUCCUCACUUUUUAAAAAAAAUCAGCUUAGCUUAAGAUUUCUUGAUCUUCUCAAGUAAUAAGUUUUUAAGUUUUUGAUUUUAUUUUCUGAAAUCUUUGUGUGCACAUACACAUAUGUAUGUGGUGUGUGCGUGUGUGUGUGUGUGUGUUCCUGUGCAUGAACGCAGGUGCAUGUGUGAAGGUCAGAGGGCAACCUUGGGCAUCGGUCUUCACCUGCCACCUUGUUUGAGGCAGUCUCUUGCUCACCACGGAGGUUUUCCAGGAAAGCAGAAUUUUCCUGUCUCUGCUACUCAUCAGAGAAUUGAGCAUUGAGAUCAGAGAGCUCUUCUCCUAGUCCUUACUUUACGUGGGUCCUGGGAUUUGAACUUAGGUCCUCCUGCUUUGCAAGUACCUUACCCACUAAACUGUCCCUCCAAACCAAUUUUCUCUGUUGUUUUUAUAUCCACUGUAUCAUUAAUUUCCUCCCUUGUCUUUCUUAGUUCCUCCCAUCUUCUUGUUUUAGGCUUGGUUUGCUUUUCUUAUUAUGAUAUCUUGAAUUAGACGGUUAGGAUAUUGAUGCAUAAUCUUUGGCUCUUAACAUACACAUCUCUAAAACCACCUUUUAUCUUAAGUUCCAAUUUAGCAGCAUUCCUGAGUUAUGGCACAAUAUGUCUUCAAUAUCAUUCAUCUCAAAUCUAAUAUGCCAUUUAAUUUCUCCUUUGGCUGAGGAUAUAUUUUUCUCCCAGGAAGCAUCCAAAAAAAUCGUCACCAAACUUGAAGUCACCUAGGUUUCCUUUAGAUUUUCUUUCAGAGUUGUCUGAUCUCACAUUUUACAGCUAUGUCUGGGAACCAUUUAGUUAAUUUCCUGAAAAGUAGGAAGUCUGAGCUUAGCUGCAUUCAAAAUUUAUUUAUUUAAAUUAUUUUUAAUAAUGUGUUUGCAGUACUCAAGGCGACCAGCAGAGGGCAACAGAUACCACAGUGCUAGAGUUAAAGGAGGGUGUGAGCCACCCGAUGAGGGUGCUGGUGAGAGAAAUCCAGUCCUCUGCAGGAGCAACAGGUACUCUUAACGAGUCCUCUUCCCAGCCUGUAGGUGCACGAUCCUCCAACUGUUUCAGGAAUGUUUAUUGGAAAGACUCUUCUCCCACCAUUGAGAGCUUCCUUUGCUUUCUACAGUUGUUGGCUACAUUUUUUUUUAAUUCCCUUUUAGGAAUUCUUCUAGAAGGCACCCACAUUUGAACAUACAGCACCACCCCUGGAUUCCUGUGAAUUCCACUCUAGGGAGGUGUAGGAGCAUUGCUCUCCUUACCUUCACCUGUGUUCUCUCCCUUUGGCCUAUUUUGUUUUACAUAUUCUACUUACAAAGGUUUAAAACACAGCCAUGCAUGUUAUACUUCUGACUUUUUAUGCUACUGGAUCUUUUAUACCUGUCCUCUUCAUCUAGGCUCUGGUCCUUCCCUCCACUGACCCCUCAUCCUCCUCUGGGCUCUGGCCCUUGCCGUCACUGGCUGGUCCUCUUCAUCUGGGCUCUGGUAUCUACUCUAAGAGAUGGUCUUAUGAGUUAGCAGAGAAAUCUCUUCCUUAGACACAAACUCCAACUGGCACCAGACUCUAGCAGCUGACCUCUCUCAUCUUGAAACUCCUCCACUAGUCAAUCCCAUUGGCUCUAUUUUCAAAACAUAACCCUAAUCUAGCUACUUUUCAAGAAGCUACCCCACCCUGGUGGCCAUGGCUGAUCAUGUGCCAGGAAUGCUUAUUGCCCUUGGGUUCAGUGUGAAACACGUCAAACAUGAAGCACAAUAGAUUAAACAUAGAAACCCUCCUUUCUGUGCCCAGGUUACACAGGCGAGGGAAGAUAAUUGUACUUCGGGUGUGUGAGGGAGUCUCAGGAUCGGUGAUAAGCUUAAACCAUGGACCACGUGUCCCCUGGAAGACUCCUGUCUUUUUACCCUUGGAGUCUCAGCUGAAAACCCUGUCCUCUGUGAACCCCUUACCAACUUCCCCAACUAAAUUUGUUUUUGUUCUUGUUUUUCGAGACAGGGUUUCUCUGUCGCUUUGGAGCCUGUCCUGGAACUCCACUCUCAGCACCUAUAGGAAUCAAUGGUGACACUUCCGUUGUCUGAAUCCCCCUCAAGAGUCACCAAAUAUGAGUUUGGGCAGGGACACAUCACAUCCAAGUCAUGGCAGAGUUUGUGUUUCAAGGAAGAACUUUGAUUUGAUUUGAUCUAAGCACGUGUUGUCUGUGGUUCGCCUAUGUGUUGUAAAGCAAAUACUAUAGUCUUUCUGAGUUUUUUUUAACUACAUUUAUGCAUGGGUAUAUGGUGUGCCAAGUCCUUCUGUAUAUGUGUUGCUUUUAUUUGUUAGUGAACAAAGAAGCUACCUUGGCCUGUGAUAGGGUAGAGUAGAGCUAGGCAGGGAAAACUAAACUGAAUGCUGAGAGAAAGAAGGUGGAGUCAGGAGAUGCUAUGUAGCCACCAGAGGGGAAAGAUGCGAGCUGCCAGCUGGAAUCAUACCAGUCUGGGUGUCUGGGAACAAACUAAUGGCCUCCUACUACAGGUAUAUGCAAGUACGUACAGAUAUCCACGGAGGUCAGAGGCAUCAGCUCCCCUGGGGCUGGACCUGAUCCAGCUGCCUGACUCGAGUGUUGGUCUUUGAACUUAACUCGGUUGCUGUGCAGCAGCAGUAAGCACUCAACUAUUGAGCCAUCUCUCCCCCUCCCCUUCCCAACACAUUCAUCAUCCGUCCUACACGUGGCUUUUCCCACACUCAUUAUCUCUGUAGAAUCAUGCCUGUAUUUUCCCCUCUUCCAGUCAGUCCCAUUGGAUCUGGUUUUGAAACAUAAUAUGUAAUUCAGAUUUAUCUCUCAAGAUCUUUGGAAGUACCUCUACCUUCUUCCCACACAUGCCGUGGUCUCUACCUAGCUCCCUGUUCCUUAACGUGUCUAUUCUGGACACAACAACCAAUGUGCUUCUCCUAAAAUAUUGGUCAGCUUAUAUUACUCUUCUGUUCCUGUCUAGAGUACCCCAGGCCUUGGGUUUAAUCCCCAGCACUGUAACAGAACAAAGCAGCUCCCCAUCCUCCAGGCAUCAUCCAUAGACAGAGGAAGCUGAGCUUCCGGGCUUAGAAACUGGAUGGUCCUGCAUAUACCCUCCCCACCUGGAACUCCAAGUUUCUACACGUUCCACACAUUCUCUGGCCUUGUGACCUUAACAUUUUGAUAUCUCUGGUGGAAACCUCUUCCACAAUGAGCCCAUAUUCACAUGCCUAGUUGACUUCCUGUGGUGAUUUGAAAGAAAAUGGUUCUCAGAGGGAGUGACACUAUUAGGAGGUGUAUGUAGCCUUGUUGGGGGAAGUGUGUCAGUCUAGGGUUGGGCUUUGAAGUCUCAUAUGCUCAAGCUAUUCCCAAUAUCACAAACUCCAUCUCCUUCCUAUGGAUUAAGGUGUAAAACUCUUUUUUUUUAAAUUUUUUUUUGUAGUCCAGGCUGGCCUCGAACUCACAGAGAUCCGCCUGCCUCUGCCUCCCGAGUGCUGGGAUUAAAGGCAUGCGCCACCACCACCUGGCAAGGUGCAAAACUCUUAUCUCCUUCUCCAACACUGUGUCCACCUGCACGUUGGUAUAUCCUGUCAUGAUGAUAAUGGACUAAACCUCUGAAACUGUAAGUUGGCUCCAAUUAAAUGGUUUUUUUUUUUAAUAUAUGGAUUGCAGUGUGUAUGGUGUCUCUUCACAGCAAUAGGAACGCUAAGUAAGACACAUCCCUUCCUUUAAGUCUUUGAUCCCAAACCAUAUUUUUAGUAAGGGCUUUGUUGGAAUGUGGAUCUGCCGAAAUGUCCUUCAAAGCCCAUGCGUUUAAGGCUUUUUUCACCCCGUGGAUUUUGGAAUGAAACAGAAGCCAUAACACGUGGACCUAGUAUGAGACUUUAGGUGGUUACAGGAAUGCCAUCAUGAGACAUUCCCUUACCCGUUCUCUGAAUAGAUGCUUCUACCAUGUUGUUUUCCAUAUUUCCCCAUUGCUGUAGGCCAAAGAGCAAUGAAGCAAACGAACCAUGGACUGAAAACUCCAAAACUAUGGGCCAAGGGUGGCCUUUUAGCUUUAUGAGUUGAUUAGCUUGGGUGUUUUGUCAGUGCAGUGGAAAGUGAGCAGCUCAUGUUUCUCUACUCUCCAUUGCCCUCAAUUCAGUUUGUUCUUCUCCACUGUAGUUAUCAAGUUUUAAACAUUCAGAGUUUAUUGUGUACUUCUUUCUCCCUGUCUAUACCUCCUAGGAUAUGGGGUCCUUGAAGGUCCCUGCGACUGCUGUUGUUGAUUGCGCACCAUUAUUGCAGCCUACACUACAGUGGGUUCCCAAUGUCCAUACACUGAACGAAGAAGUAUGCUUAUGCAGGGAUGUAUGAAUUGAAUGUCUGUGGUCUAGCCUGGGACAGUAUGGAAAUGCUGGUUGUAUUAGGAAACACACAACUGUAGAGAGGACAGGGGACCACUGGGAAAGGAAGAAAGUAGAUGAUAUUCACCUACUUGUGAGGUUUCGCUUGGUGCUUUGGGCUGGCUCUGAUGCCUUUGGCCCUGUCUUCCUCGGUUGUCCAUGGCACAUACUUCCUUCUUGAAGGCACCAAAGUAACUCUCACCAAAUACUUCCUGACUGACAGCUUAAUUACAUUAUUAGAAAUGGAUUUCUUCUGUUUGAUUAUGUGGGGAUGGGGUGGGGGGAAUAAACCCCUUUCCAGACAGUUUUGUUGCACAAGCUUGUUCCCUGGGCUCCCCAGGGAAGAGAGUUCAGGGGUUUCUUGUGCUAUGUGAGGGGACUGGAUUUAGAUCACAGGAGACAGUGAUGAGGUGGCAAUGCAGGCUGAUCAGAGAUGAAGCUACCUGAGAUAAAGGCAGAACCAGGGAGCUGGAACAGUGAGAAUCUAGGGUGAGAAGCCGUAGUACAGUUUAAGUCUGUAUCAACUUCCCUUGGUGGCUAUCUUUAGCGCAGUGUCACGACUCACGAUUUUAUAACUUCGAACACCUCAGUUUGUGUACACUUGUUAAGAGUCUGUGUUGUUGACCGGAACAUAAACUGCGAGAGAAGAACUGAUUAUUUUGUCAGUUCUAUUUCAAGCAAAAUGUUUGGUCAUGCUGUGGCUCACAUAUGGCAGCGAUUAAAUAUUUAAAAGAUGAAAUUCCAAAGCAGAAGGAAGGAACUGAGGUUUAACCUCAGUUGUCCCAACCAAAGGAGAUCAAUCAGCAAGGGGUUCUCUUCUAGGGAUAAACUUUCCUUCCAGGAGACUCUUGUCCCAGGUUACUCUUCUCUUUCUUCCUUUUUUUUUUUUUAAUAUUUAUUUAUUUAUUUAUUAUGUAUACAAUAUUCUGUGUGCAUGCCCGAAGACCAGAAGAGGGCGCCAGACCUCUUUUACAGAUGGCUGUGAGCCACCAUGUGGUUGCUGGGAAUUGAACUCAGGACCUUUGGAAGAGCAGGCAAUGCUCUUAACCACUGAGCCAUCUCUCCAGCCCCUCUUUCUUCCUUUUUGAUGAGAGACAAAGAUUUGUGGUUUUCAUCAGAGGAAAGAAAAGCACCCAUUUUGCAUUUCCUUGUGUUUUGUGCAACAGCAUUUGGAAUUGUGAUGUCUGAAGAGAUGACAAGAUAGGAAUCUAUGUACCUGCUACACUAAACUUUGAGAAGCACAGCUCUAAGUGACUAAACUGUCUCCUGCAGUACACAGGGCAGGAGGCAGACAGUGAGGUCUAGGCAGAUGCAGGGGCACAGGGUGUGGACUGGCAUUUAUGUGGUCUACAAGGGCUUCAGAAGCACCAGAGUAGAUGGCUGAGACCAAGGAGGGGAGCAAAGAGCAUGGGGAGAGAGAGAUCUCAGACAGGGCAGCAAAUGACAGAAGACAAACCAAACUUGGUGUGUGUGUGGGGGGGGUGCAAAGAGUGAUUUUAUUUUGGGUUUAUUUAUGUGGACGUGAGUCUGUCUGCAAAUAUGCAAGUGCAGUGCCCAUGGAGGCCAGAGGAGAGUGAGAGUGUUGGAUCCCCUAGAGCUGUUACAGGUAGUUCAUGAACUGCUCGGUGUGGGCCCUGGUAACUGAACUCGGGUUUCUGGGAAGAACAGAAUGUGCUCUUAACUGCUGAGCCAUUUCUUUGGCACCCCAUUCCCACCAAAGGAUAUUUAUUUGAAGAGUGGAGAGGGAGGUCAGAGCUACUGGAGUCCCAGGCACCCAAGCUAUCGCUUCUUUCUGUCUUCCCUUUUCUCUUCUUUUGCUGUCCUUCUAGCCUCUCUUUGUCUCCCCCUCUGUGUCUCUUCCUCUCUCCCUACUUCUCUCAUUUCUUCCCCACAUCUCUCUGCUGCUUCCUUUUUUCUACUAUAGAUAUGGGCAUUCUCCACACAUGAGGAAAAGUGUCAAAGACACAUCCUGAAGGAUGUAGAGCUGCAUCUGAACAUAUGCUCUGUCAGACUGCCCAGGGUGAAUUCUCUGUCUUGUUCCUCAAGUAUGGUCAAAAACGGGCUCUUAGGUGGGCAUCAGAGGAGCAAGUUGCAAUAGUCACUAAGACUUUUUGGUGCCUUUCCUUGGUUAAGAGACUCUCUGAGUGAGUGGGGUUUGGAGAAAUAAAGAGACAGGAAUAGGGCUUUCUGAGACCAAGCAGGGGUGAGUGGAGGUUCCAGGCACCCACCUUUAAUCCCAGCACUCAGGGGACAGAGACAGAUCUCUGUGAAUUUGAGACCAGACUGGUCUACAUAGAGAGAGGUUAUCUCAAAAAAAGAAAAAAAAAAAAAGGACAUGAAGGUGAGAGGAGAGGAGGUGGGAAAUUGAAGGCAUAUGGAAGGGGCUAGAGGGAAGAAUGAGAGUUAAAUACAAUAAAAAUAUAUUGUAUGCAUGAUGUGGAAUUUCCCUCUGUAUUCCAUGAAUACUACUGGUUAACAAAGAAGCUGCUUUGGGCCUAUUGCAGUGCAGAAUAGGUCAAUGUGGGAAUUCCAAGCAAAUAGAGGAGGAGAGAGUAGGCAGAGUCAAGGAGAUGCCAUGUAGUGCCAAAGGAAAAAGACACCCACAGAAGCCCACCAGAACUUUGCUGGUAUGCCACAACCUUGUGGUGAUGCACAGGUGAAUAGAGAUGGGUGUAAUUUAAGAUUUAAGAGCUAGCUAGCAAUAUGCCUAAGUGAUUGGCCAGGCAGUGUUUUAAUUAAUACAGUUUCUAUGUGAUUAUUUCAGGUCUGGGUAGCCGGGAACGAACAAGCAGCCUCCAACUACAGAUUGGUGCCACAACAUGGACAACUACAUACACAUAAACCCUGAAAGAUCUUGGAAAGGAAUUAUAGACACAAAAGAACAGAGUUUAUUGCAGCUUCCUUGAAGCCACAUUUUUACCCCUCCAGAUGAGCUCUGUUUGCUGGCAGAGAGCAGAGGCUCCAUGGCUCCUUUAAGAGAGGUCUUCUUGACAUAGCAUAGACAGCAAAGGCUGCUUGGCUCCUUUCAAAAGGCUUCCUGGUUUAUGCUAGUUGCACAAACAACUCUGGCUCUUUCAGGAGACCAAGCACUUGAAUGGGGUUUGUGAGCAGAGUGCUACAACUUGCUUAAUGGCAACAUAGACCCAUUAUGUACCUGAAAAUGAGGCUAUGGGCAUGGCUCAGAGAGCUGGAGCUGAAUGGACCUCUGCCAUGUUAGAUUGGGUAGAACCAAAAGGCAAAGCAGCCUUCAUUCUAGCCACAUCACUUAGCAUUUUAAGAAGUGGUCCUGGUAAGAAAAAAGAUUACAGAUAUAUAAUAGAGUCAAAUUAGAUUGAAAAGACCUUUAAAUGGGUUACAGUGCUGGAUAAAUGUAUGUGAGCUUGAGAGAGAGAAGAAAAAGAAUAUAGAAAAAUAAAACAAAGUUUUUAAAGAGACGGAGUGUAGAUAGUCAUGGAUUAAAGGAUAAAAAAAUAAGCCACAUAAAGAUGGAAUAUAUACAGAGAGUUGGAUUAUGUAAAUUUUUGUGUUUUAUUUAAAUUUUUGACUGUGAAUGAGCUAUAGAGAGACAUUUCAUUGUAUGGGCUGCUAAGCUAAACCAACAUAUAUAUUUUAAAGGUAUCUUGACUUCAAAAUUUGGGUCUAAAGAUCUGGAAAAGAGGUUCUGCUUUUGUUUCCACGGAAAAUGAGAACCUGUGGAUUCCUUCUAGGCUAAUAUAGUUUGAUGGAUCAAGACCCCUCAAAAGGUCACUGUGAACACCCAAAAUUGCUUUGCCCAACAAAAAGCAGAAAGCAGUUUGGAGAGAACUAUGCCCAAAUUCUCUAAAUGAUUGUUUGCAAAUGUUUGUUUACAUGUAAAGGGGAACAUACUAUAGAGAUGAAUAAUUUGCAUUGGUAUGGAUCUUGAUUUAUUGAUAAAAAUUUGAGAUCAAUUUUGUUGUAUGUGUAAGGUAUUGUGGUUGUUCAGCUCAUUUAAAAAUGUAAUGAAUAAUUAAGAAAUAUAGGCUAAUAGUCAUCUAUAAUAGUCAAGCUUGUAAUUGUGUUAGGUUUUCUAGAUGUACAAAAAUAUAUUUCAGAAGGAUAACUAUUCUUCAAACAUUUCAAAGACUUUCGGAAUAUGUCAUUUAAAAUGUUUAAAAACUUAGGACUUUUCAUGACAGUGGGACACAUCUGCUCCUGGCAGCACCAAUCUAUUUCAAGAGGAUGAUGGACAUUGAAAAGGCUCCUUAUGGAGUUUGUUAGCCAUUUGGGCAAGAAACUGUUCUUGCCUGGACUUCUUAAUGUUAUGCUGUAUGAAUUGGACAUGCAGGACCCACAGGAAAAUGAUUGCUGAAGUUGCCUAAAGAAAGUGAGACAGUCCUUCAGGAUUCCUGCUUCAUGAAAGAGACUGCCAGACAUUUUUCAGGACACAGAAGAAAGUGAUUGACAAACUACUAAUAUAGGGUGCGGUGGGUACAUCGGCUACACACAGAGAAGACGCUAGCAUAAGACUGAACCGGAAGAGAGUUGGCGGUCAUUUGAGAGGAAGAAUCUGGGGUACCUGGAGCACGAUUUAGAAGUGCCUUGUAACCAGUUACCUCAAGCUCCUCCCACCAUGCCUUCCCCGCCAUCAUGGACUGUAACUUCAAACUGCAAACCAAAAGAAACCCUUCCUUCUUGGAGUGGCUGUUGUCAAGGAUUUUGUCACAGCAAUCAGAAAGGGCAAAGGAGGAAGCCAGAUGAGUGACAACAUCCCUCUUUCUCUGCCUCCUGACGGUGGACCAAUGUGACCACAUCCCCUGCUGUCUCAUGUACUGGAAAAAGAAGAGAAAUCUGCUUGGGCAAUCAUUUACUUCCUACACAUCUUGUCUGUCACUACCCUGUCAAACAGUGCCUUGUAUGUGUGAGCUGAAACUCGAAGGAGAAAAGUGCCACCUGUGUUACAGGUGCUACCAGGGUGGAUGGCUGGGUAGAAAUAUCAUUGUGGAGAGUUGAAGGGCUGGUUUGAAAUGUUCCAGAACAAUCUGUCUUGCCAACUUUAGGGUCCUUAAUAGUCACUCAUUCUCCGCCUCUGCAUCAGAUCUAACACCUUCAUGAUUGUCACGUGAAACCCUUUUGGGGCAGGUGAAUUUAACGAUCACUAGCGUCCAUCAAUCCCAAAGCUAAGAAUGCCAUCUGAUGGCCUCUGAGGCCUAGAGUAGAGUUUCCUCACUUCUCUGCUAGCUACUUGCCUGAUGGUUCUACCACCAUUAUUAAAGAGUGCCUUGAUGGGCUGGAGAGAUGGCUCAGUGGUUAAGAGCAUUGCCUGCUCUUCCAAAGGUCCUGAGUUCAAUUACCGGCAACCACAUGGUGGCUCACAACCAUCUGUAAAGAGGUCUGGCGCCCUCUUCUGGCCUUCAGGCAUACAGACAGAAUAUUGUAUACAUAAUAAAUAAAUAAAUAAAAAAAAGAGUGCCUUGAUUCUGGGGGCUGGAGGGGGAGCUCAGUGAUUGAGAGUACUGACUGCUCUUCCAGAGGACCGAGGUUCGAUUCCCAGGACCUAUAUGGCAGCUAACAACUGUCUGUAACUCCAAGAUCUGACACCCUCACCCAGAGAUACAU